CCUACGGGAGGCAGCAGUGGGGAAUAUUGCACAAUGGGGGAAACCCUGAUGCAGCGACGCCGCGUGAGUGAAGAAGUAAUUCGUUAUGUAAAGCUCUAUCAGCAGGGAAGAAACAGACGGUACCUGAGUAAGAAGCCACGGCUAACUACGUGCCAGCAGCCGCGGUAAUACGUAGGGGGCAAGCGUUAUCCGGAUUUACUGGGUGUAAAGGGAGCGUAGACGGCGAAGAAAGUCUGAAGUGAAAGCCCGCGGCUUAACCGCGGAACUGCUUUGGAAACUUUUAUGCUGGAGUACCGGAGAGGUAAGCGGAAUUCGUGGUGUAGCGGUGAAAUGCGUAGAUAUUAGGAGGAACACC
This 355-nucleotide ribosomal RNA is filed under the name uncultured bacterium. RNAcentral describes it as "partial 16S ribosomal RNA". It matches the Rfam family "Bacterial small subunit ribosomal RNA", at positions 338 to 710 of the family's 1533-position model. The record is from RNAcentral.